CCCUACGCAGCAGGGCGUGGGGAGAAGUCCUACGCCGAUGCCUUCUUGAACUCCGUCAUCACGACGCGCAACCUCCUGGAUGCUUGUUUGAGCCACCGCUGUCUGAAGCGGUUUGUGAACGUGAGCUCCUUUGCAGUAUACACGAAUCGGGACAAACCACGUGGAUGCUUGUUGAACGAGGACUGCCCAUUGGAAUCACAUCCGCAGCUCCGAGGGAACGCAUACUGUUACGCCAAGGUGAGGCAGGAGGAAGUGGUCGUCGCCUACGGUCGUGGGCGCGGCGUGCCUAUUGUCAUUUUGCGUCCCGGCGUAGUAUACGGUCCGGUGAACGAACAAAUCCACAGUCGCGUGGGGAUUGGGACCUUCGGCGUCUUCUUGCAUCUAGGCGGAUCGAACCCCGUUCCGCUUACUUUCGUUGACAACUGUGCCGAGGCGGUUGUCUUGGCUGGAAUCGUGCCUGGAAUUGGCGGGAGAGC
RNAcentral lists this ribosomal RNA (476 nucleotides) under uncultured prokaryote. Its description in RNAcentral is "partial 16S ribosomal RNA". The record is from RNAcentral.